Molecule: long non-coding RNA, 256 nt
Filed under: Lupinus angustifolius (narrow-leaved blue lupine)
Lineage: Eukaryota; Viridiplantae; Streptophyta; Magnoliopsida; Fabales; Fabaceae
Description: long non-coding RNA (LANG_LNC000388)
Source: RNAcentral
UCUUAAAUGGGGAUUGAGAGAGGUGUAAAAAAAGAAAGGGGUUGAACAUUAUUAUUUAUUAUUAAAAGAGAAAAGAAUGGAACCCUGAGAUAUAGGGAAAAAAGGAAAAGAGUGUAAAAACAUAACCAAGAAACAGAAAAGUGAGGAAGCGAUCUGAUCUAUGAAUUAUGAUCUAUCUCUCUCUCUGCAACAACAACAACACCACACAUGACACAUCCAAUCCCAAUAUCAACAAUUAAGCGCUGUGUGCUGUUUC